Molecule: ribosomal RNA, 253 nt
Filed under: uncultured bacterium
Lineage: Bacteria
Description: partial 16S ribosomal RNA
Rfam family: Bacterial small subunit ribosomal RNA
Source: RNAcentral
UACGGAGGGUGCAAGCGUUAUCCGGAUUCACUGGGUUUAAAGGGUGCGUAGGUGGGUUGGUAAGUCAGUGGUGAAAUCCCCGAGCUUAACUUGGGAACUGCCAUUGAUACUAUCAGUCUUGAAUAUUGUGGAGGUUAGCGGAAUAUGUCAUGUAGCGGUGAAAUGCUUAGAUAUGACAUAGAACACCAAUUGCGAAGGCAGCUGGCUACGCUUAUAUUGACACUGAGGCACGAAAGCGUGGGGAUCAAACAGG